GGCUCCAUAGCUCAGUUGGUUAGAGCGUAGCACUGUUAUCUCUCUUACCAGACAGUAGUACUCUUCCGCCUCAGGCUGGCUGCGACCCCGCUCGGGUCAGCAGCUGGCGCAGGCGAGCUACUCGAGAGAUGCUGAGGUCGGCGGUUCGAGCCCGCCUGGGGUCG
Molecule: transfer RNA, 164 nt
Filed under: Moesziomyces antarcticus T-34
Lineage: Eukaryota; Fungi; Basidiomycota; Ustilaginomycetes; Ustilaginales; Ustilaginaceae
Rfam family: tRNA
About the family: Transfer RNA (tRNA) molecules are approximately 80 nucleotides in length. Their secondary structure includes four short double-helical elements and three loops (D, anti-codon, and T loops). Further hydrogen bonds mediate the characteristic L-shaped molecular structure. tRNAs have two regions of fundamental functional importance: the anti-codon, which is responsible for specific mRNA codon recognition, and the 3' end, to which the tRNAs corresponding amino acid is attached (by aminoacyl-tRNA synthetases). tRNAs cope with the degeneracy of the genetic code in two manners: having more than one tRNA (with a specific anti-codon) for a particular amino acid; and 'wobble' base-pairing, i.e. permitting non-standard base-pairing at the 3rd anti-codon position.
Source: Rfam by way of RNAcentral